Molecule: unclassified non-coding RNA, 427 nt
Filed under: Hevea brasiliensis (rubber tree)
Lineage: Eukaryota; Viridiplantae; Streptophyta; Magnoliopsida; Malpighiales; Euphorbiaceae
Source: RNAcentral
CAGCAUCCGGAGUUGGAUUUCUCGAAGGCCAAGAUAUCAUAAGAUUGGAAUGUUUAAUUUGGCGGCAGAGGGUUAGUCUAGAUGGCUGGGGCCUCUCCUUAUCCAGUGGGAUUUCUUUUUGUUGGGCUUGGAAUGGGUAACUCUAAGGUUUGGAUUGGUUGAACUCUGUUAACAGUUUUGGAGUUGAAAAUUUUUGGAUAGACGUGUGCUUUGCGGUCCCAAAUUUAAAUAUAGCUUUUGUGGUGCUAACUCCUUCAUGUUAUACUGCUUCGUUUGGCCUCAAAUAAUAGGGCUUUUUAACAAACAAGUGGAUUUUAAAAUAAAAUUCACACACAAUAGGGUGGCUUAUAAAAUUUUUAUCCAAAGGGGUGUUUUUCUGCCAGUAGGACAAGAAACAAUUUGGACAAGAAGCAAUUUGGACGUGGAC